GGAAGGGAUGUAUUUAUUAGAUAAAAAACCAAUGCCCUCUGGGCUCCUUGGUGAUUCAUAAUAACUAAACGAAUCGCAUGGCCUUGCGCCGGCGAUGGUUCAUUCAAAUUUCUGCCCUAUCAACUUUCGAUGGUAGAAUAGUGGUCUACCAUGGUCUUAACGGGUAACGGGGAAUUAGGGUUCGACUCCGGAGAGGGAGCCUGAGAAACGGCUACCACAUCCAAGGAAGGCAGCAGGCGCGCAAAUUACCCAAUGCUAAUUCAGCGAGGUAGUGACAAUAAAUACUGAUACGGGGCUCUUUCGGGUCUCGUAAUUGGAAUGAGUACAAUCUAAAUCCCUUAACGAGGAACAAUUGGAGGGCAAGUCUGGUGCCAGCAGCCGCGGUAAUUCCAGCUCCAAUAGCGUAUAUUAAAGUUGUUGCCGUUAAAAAGCUCGUAGUUGAACCUUGGACCUGGCUGAUCUGUCCUCCUAAUCGAGCGCACGGAUUCGGUCGGGUCUUUCCUUCUGGGGAGCCCUAUGCCCUUCACUGGGUGUAGUGGGGAACCAGGACUUUUAC
This 556-nucleotide ribosomal RNA is filed under the name uncultured fungus. Its description in RNAcentral is "SSU rRNA". It matches the Rfam family "Eukaryotic small subunit ribosomal RNA", at positions 194 to 755 of the family's 1831-position model. Lineage: Eukaryota; Fungi. The record is from RNAcentral.